UUUAGUUUGAUUGAUGGGAAUCUACACUGCAACCGCCUAUCACGGCCUUACUAAAAAGACAGUUAGGCUACGUACAUGAUGUAGCCUACGUCAGGGUAGCCGCUCAACAGUUACCGCACAUUUUUGAAAGCUGGAUGAGUUUUUGCCGGCUUACUCACUUCAGUUUGUCAUGGAAAUCUGUAAGUGGUUGAAAAGCCCACCAGCAGUCUCCUCUGUCACAUUAGAUGUGACACCAACGCCUCCUGAUGUUGGAGUUGGAGAAGAAGACCCUGGAUGACAGUCUGAGCCUGAUGUUAGUAGCUCCGCGGAGCCCGACCCGGGGCCUAGCAGGACCUGCUGGUCAA
Long non-coding RNA from Etheostoma spectabile (orangethroat darter), 344 nucleotides. RefSeq lists it as uncharacterized. The transcript is spliced from 3 exons. Lineage: Eukaryota; Metazoa; Chordata; Actinopteri; Perciformes; Percidae. The record is from RefSeq and is a predicted model, not a curated record.